AAGGGCUUAAANCUCCAAAGGAAUNGAUCGGGGGGCCCGCCNCACAAGCGGUGGAGCAUGUGGUUUUAAUUUCGACGCAACGCGAAGCACCUUACCUGGGCUAGAGCUCACUUAAAAUUCUGCGGAAAACGUGGAAGUGCUCGCAAGAGAAUUAGUGGUGAGGUGCUGCAUGGCUGUUCGUCAGCUUCGUGUCGUGAGAUGUUGGGUUAAGUCCCGCAACGAGCGCCAACCCCUAUCGUCUAGUUGCCAGCGGUUCGGCCGGGCACUCUUAGCGAGACUGCCGAUCUUCAAAUUCGGAGGAAGGUGGGGACGACGUCAAGUCAUCAUGGCCCUUAUGUCCAGGGCUACACACGUNCUACAAUGGUGGGGUACAAGUGAANCGCAAGGCACGGGAAGGUGCAANGCCUAAAUCCCCCAAAAAAACCCACCUCAGUAACAGAAUAAAGAGGUUUGCAANNNGACUCUUUGAAGUCNGAAUCGNUAG
This 484-nucleotide ribosomal RNA is filed under the name uncultured delta proteobacterium. Its description in RNAcentral is "partial 16S ribosomal RNA". It matches the Rfam family "Bacterial small subunit ribosomal RNA", at positions 889 to 1338 of the family's 1533-position model. Lineage: Bacteria; Deltaproteobacteria. The record is from RNAcentral.